Molecule: ribosomal RNA, 497 nt
Filed under: uncultured bacterium
Lineage: Bacteria
Description: partial 16S ribosomal RNA
Rfam family: Bacterial small subunit ribosomal RNA
Source: RNAcentral
GUUGAACGCUGGCGGCGUGCCUAAUACAUGCAAGUCGAGCGAACAGACGAGGAGCUUGCUCCUCUGACGUUAGCGGCGGACGGGUGAGUAACACGUGGAUAACCUACCUAUAAGACUGGGAUAACUUCGGGAAACCGGAGCUACUACCGGCUAAUAUCUUGAAACGCAGGGUGCAAUAGUGAAAGACGGUUUUGCUGUCACUUGUAGGUUGAUCCGCGCCGGAUUAGCUAGUUGGUAAGGUAACGGCUUACCAAGGCAACGAUGCGUAGCCGGCCUGAGAGGGUGAUCGGCCACACUGGAACUGAGACACGGCCCAGACUCCUACGGGAGGCAGCAGUAGGGAAUCUUCCGCAAUGGGCGAAAGCCUGACGGAGCAACGCCGCGUGAGUGAUGAAGGUCUUCGGAUCGUAAAACUCUGUUAUUAGGGAAGAACAAAUGUGUAAGUAACUAUGCACGUCUUGACGGUACCUAAUCAGAAAGCCACGGCUAACUACGUG